RNAcentral lists this ribosomal RNA (267 nucleotides) under uncultured bacterium. RNAcentral's name for it is "partial 16S ribosomal RNA". It matches the Rfam family "Bacterial small subunit ribosomal RNA", at positions 793 to 1055 of the family's 1533-position model. The record is from RNAcentral.
GUCCCGGCCCUAAACGGUGCGCAUUUGCUGUGGGCGGAAUCGACCCCGCCCGUGGCGUAGCUAACGCGUUAAAUGCGCCGCCUGGGGAGUACGGCCGCAAGGUUAAAACUCAAAGAAAUUGACGGGGGCCUGCACAAGCGGUGGAGUAUGUGGCUUAAUUCGAUGCAACGCGAAGAACCUUACCUGGCCUUGACAUGCAAAUAGUAGAAGCCUGAAAGGGUGACGACUCCGCAAGGAGAGUUUGCACAGGUGCUGCAUGGCUGUCGU